GACGAACGCUGGCGGCGCGCUUAACACAUGCAAGUCGAACGGAAAGGCCUGCUUUCCCUUGUGGAUUGCGGGUACUCGAGUGGCGAACGGGUGAGUAACACGUGAGUGAUCUGCCCCCAACUUGGGUAUAAGCCUGGGAAACUGGGUCUAAUUCCCGAUAGGACUGCAGGGUGGUGCCUGUGGUGGAAAACGAUUUUCUAGUGGUUGGGGAUGAGCUCGCGGCCUAUCAGCUUGUUGGUGGGGUAAUGGCCUACCAAGGCGGCGACGGGUAGCCGGCCUGGGGGGGUGGACGGGCACAGUGGAACGGAGAUACGGCCCAGACUCCUACGGGAGGAAGCAGUGGGGAAUAUUAAACAAUGGGCGGAAGCCUGAUGCAGCGACGCCGCGUGGGGGAUGACGGCCUUCGGGUUGUAAACUCCUUUCGACCGCGAGGAAGCCACCUGGUUGGAAGGGUGGUGACGGUAGUGGUAGAAGAAGCACCGGCUAACUACGUG
Molecule: ribosomal RNA, 494 nt
Filed under: uncultured bacterium
Lineage: Bacteria
Description: partial 16S ribosomal RNA
Rfam family: Bacterial small subunit ribosomal RNA
Source: RNAcentral